UCCUCGAUGGCUCAGAGGAUAGAGCGUCUGCCAGGUAUGCAGGAGAUCCCGGGUUUGAAUCCCGGUCGGGGAA
Non-coding RNA from Schistocerca cancellata (South American locust), 73 nucleotides. The record is from the annotation of a RefSeq genome assembly. Lineage: Eukaryota; Metazoa; Arthropoda; Insecta; Orthoptera; Acrididae.